Molecule: long non-coding RNA, 1557 nt
Filed under: Taeniopygia guttata (zebra finch)
Lineage: Eukaryota; Metazoa; Chordata; Aves; Passeriformes; Estrildidae
Description: lncRNA (ENSTGUG00000029182.1)
Source: RNAcentral
GGACAGCCUGCUCCUGCACCUUCAAGAUUUCUGUCUUGAAGCACAUCCAGCCUUCCUGAGCCCCUUUGUUUUUAAGGACUGCUUCCCAAGGGACUUCCCUAGUCAGUGUCCUCAAUAGGCCAAAGUCAUCCUCUGGAAGUCCAGAGGUUUUUGUUUAGCCUGCCCACCACUUGCUUCUCUAAUAAUUGAAAAUCCCAUGAUUUUAUGGUCACUGUGCCCAAGGCAGCCUCUGACCACAUCUCCCACCAACAUUUCUCUGUCUGUAAACCACAGUCUAGUGGGGCAUAAUCCCUGCAGGCUCAUUUUUUUACCAGCUGUGUGAGAAAGUUCUCUUCCAUACACUCCAGGGACCUCCUAGACUGCCUCCUUGCUGCCGUGUUGAGCUUGCAGGAGACAUCCAGCAGGUUACAGUCUCCCACAGGAACAAGGGCUGGAGAUGGUGAAACAUCAGCCAGCCACCUAUAGAAUGAUUUGUUUGAAUCAUCAUCCAACACCACUAAUUUUCACCCUGUAAGAUAUCUAAACUGAACCCUGAAUGCUUUAAGGGAGAUUAGCUUCCAAAAUAUAAUCCUUAUUAAAAAUGUGUAAUUCUGAAUGCAUCACCUUGCAUCUGGCUCUAUUAAUGAGAUUAAUUUGACAAGUAAUCAAGAUUUCUCAGAAAGAAUUUUUACCUGUCAUUGCAAAUCCCGAGUCAUCACACUUAACCUUCAAGUAGUUACAAUGCUUCCUCCUACAUCACAGUGGUUUCAAGAAGUAUUCCUAUUUAUUAUUUCUACACUCACUUACUAUGUUUUAAUUAAGUUUUCAUGUGUGUUACCGAUUUUUUAAUCUUGAUCUUCUUUUGACAUGGUGUUUGUCAGGUCUCACAGGAGUCCAUGAGGUCAACAAAAUUCUUCACAGUCAAUCCAAAUAGAAGCAUUGCCUUGGCCAUGUGAAUGACUGCCCAGAAGACAGGAAACCCCUUUAUCACUGAAAUUUAGCCAAAUAAUUAUUUUUCAAAUUUUGUUUAGUUUGUAUGAACAUUCAGAGCACUUCCACUUUCAAAGAUAGGACUUAGGUGUAGAAAACCAGGUGUUGUAUCUAGGGAAGGGGCUGGUAUCUUUACUUUAUGGACAUGGUGAAUUGCUUACAGCUGGGGGAACUAAAACUCAUUUUCUUCAAAUAUUUAUUCCUGAGCAAUAAAGAGAACAGAAACAUUUGAAAAUGCACAGGCAAAUCAGAUGUUCUUAAAACAAAUAAUGAGAAAAUUCUGUUUAGCUACUUACUAGCAACCACUGCAAGGUAGUUCAUUCUGGCUAGAAAAUUAAAUAUAUUGGAAGAUUUUGUCACCACAGGGCAUUCAUUUGCUCUCAUAAAAGACAGAAGUGCAUUGAAGACAAGCUUUUAAAUGCUUUGAAACCAGUGGUGAUGGUAAGCAGAGAGUUCAAACUAGCUGACACUUUCCCAGAUAAAUAUGGCUAGGAAAACAUAUUGGAUUCUACCAAUUCACAGUAACUGGCAACACUUCAAAGGGAAAAUCAAAUUUAUUUCCUCUUGAAGGCAAAAAAAAAAAAAAAA